CGGGGGCCACAGCUGGGCAGCCGUUCCCUCUGCCGGGGGAGGCGCGCCGCUGCAAAAGCAGCAGCGUCCCAGGUUCCCGGGGGAGACGCCCCCGGGACCACCCGUCACCAACCUGCUUCGCCUUUUCCAUGCAGUGUUCCUGGCGCUUGCUCGAGUGGCAGGUAAGGACCGAGCACCUUCUGUGGGCCAGGAGCUGAAGACACAGCCUAGAACCCCCGGCCCCUGUCCGCAGGGAGCUUGCACAAUUUGCUGGCGCACACAGAUGACUCGCGUGAAUGCGGCUUGCAGAGGCUCUAGGGCAGCGCUGUCCAACAGGAGAGCCCCUCGUGUAAUUCGAUAUUUUCUGAAUAACCACAAUUAAAAGAUCGCUGCUGAGGGCAACUGGAGCUUGGCUAUGCCCAGAACUUUCAGAGGAGCCUGGAGAACCACCGUGCUGAGUUGCUACCAGUAGAUUAACGUGGAGGCCUGUUUUAUCUCUUGCUCCCAUCCUGCCUGGUUGAGGGUUGCCCCUCAGACUGUCCAUUCCUGAACUUGUAUGACCCCUGCCCCUGUGCCUCCUCUCCUUGGAGUCAGAGAAGCCCUGGGGCUGACAGCAAAGGACACAGGGCAUCUACUUGAGGACAUAUGGCAGAGAGAGAAAGAAGUUAGACAACACCGAAACAACAAUGUGGGGCAUUCUACAGGGCAAUUGAUCUAAUUUCUCCAGAAAUGUACUGACAUGAAAAGUAGGUGAGUUAUAGACGUAAGCGCCUAAUCUGCAAAAGUAAUAGGUGGACUUUGGAUCCUGACUCAAACACAUCGACAGUUGAAAUUUUUUUAGAUAGCAUAGGAACCUUGGAAUAUAGACCAGAUAUUAAAUGAUGACAGAGAAUAAUUAAUUUUGUUAAUUAUAAAAAAUGGCUAAGUUAAAGAAAAAUUAUUUAUUGGUAAUAGAUGCCUACUGAAGUAUGUAGGAUAAAAUGAUAUGAUUUUGGAUUUCUCUGUAACCAUUCCAGUAAAAAAAGAAAUGAAAAAGAAUAGAUGAAACACAGUUGGAAAAUUAUAGUAAUUUUCCAUGCUGAAUGGAGGGACUCGUGGCCUUGUUAUAUUAUUCUUACAACUCUUAUGUGUGUUCAGAAUUUUCCAUGAUAAAAGUAAAACCAGUAGGGUUAAUAAGUAUCGCUUUUUGCAAACAUCAGAAUGCAAAAUAUCAGUUUAACCCAUGAAUAGCGUGCACUGUGCUGAAAGAGAGUUGUGGGACAGGGGAGAUGCUUGUUUUUGCUGAGAGAUGAGAUUAUAUGGAAGCGAAAUUCCUUCUGACGGACCCCAGCAGCCAGAGAACAUAACAUAAAGUUAGGUUUACUGAGGGGUGCAGCAAGGGAGACUGCACCAGCCAGAGGAACCAAGAGGCACCUAGUGAAAUGAAGGAAUAGGCAGGGUUCUGGUAGGAUUUGGGGAGGGGUGGAUUUAGGUAACAUUUAAUGAAGCUGAGUUGGAGAGACUUAAAGCACAGCAAGUUUGUGUGUCAAACAGUUGCCAUUAAGCCUCGCCCAAGAAGCUAACGCAGGAUCCCCAAAGGGAAGGUAGAUGUGGAAUGUUGUGUCCAAAUCCCCUAGAUCUGGAUCUCUGCACUUGGGCGGCAAACUGAGACCACUUCACCAUGCCCAAAUGACCCUGGUGGCUCAGAUCUUGCAGCAAUAGAAGGGUGUUCCAUCUUACUGAUUUGACUUCAAACAGCGAAGGUUUUAGAGAACAAGUUUUCUCAGCACUACAUCCUUGAUGCUAAUUAACAAAGGCAGAUGCCAGAGGCUCACAGUGGCAACGUUAGCAGGAUUCAGUCUGCAUGUUCCUUCUCACAGACCUUCCUUCCAUGAGCCUUUACCGCAAGCUGUACAACACAGUUUAACUAAGAGUGAAUGACAACACAGGUACCAGUGAUAGUAAUAACACUCAAUGGUCACUGAGCAUUUACCGUUUUUCAGGUACUGGGCUAAACUACACUUACAAGACAUGCUUCAUUUCACUAUCCUAGACUAAGCAUUUAGACUCCAAAUGGAUCAGGGUAUUCAUACAUUUCCAGCACGGGCAAAUCUCAGCUGAGCCGAGAUCCCACCCUGGGUUUGCCCACUAAGUCUUCUGGUGGGUGUACCUUUUUCAAAAGGAACUGCUUCCUUGUUUUCCCAGAAUGUUUGCCAAGUAUGAUGAAUUCUGCUCCUUCCUAUCUUUUCUGUCUAAAACAUAUUUACCAAGUGUCCACAUUCGAAAGAUGCGAUCCUCAUCUCCAAUCUUUUCAUCCCAGUGUACUGUCUACCCUCUCCUGUCUGGGCCUGGCUCAGGCAAAGUGCAUUCCUUACUUAGAGGAAGGUAAGGAAAGGUAAGGAAGACUGCCUUUGAUUUGUUCAGGCAGAGGUGUCACCACACUCUCCCACAGCUGCCACCUGAGACACACACACACACACACACACACACACACACACACGCACAUGCACACGCGCUCCACGCCCCCCCCCAUCAUCCAGAGUCUCAGCUGCAGCAGUCCAAUCAAUGUCCUGAACUUUGCUGCCCCCUAGUGAUAGACCCAGAGAUUAUCACUGAUGCUUCAAAGGUUAUGCUCACAAGUAAAAUGAUUUUUUUCACCCAUUUUCCUUUCUUCGCUUUACUUUCGAAAACGUAUAAAGCAAGGUUAAUGCCUUGUUCAAAAGUAUGAACAAAUAUAUAGUACCAAGAGCUAUCAGGUUGGAUAUGCAAUUGCAACUAACACAUUUGCAUCCCUUUUGCUAGCAUAGGUAUAGACAUAAAAAUUCAUGAGCAUAAGGAUACAGUUUAUAAGGACUCGGUUUUAUAAUUUGACAGAUCUUGUCAAACUCAUUCAGUUGGUGAAACCAGCAACCUUGUAUCUAUUUAUUAGCCUAAGUUAUUUUCGUAACACACACAUGCACAGAAUAAACAGAAUAGGUGGAUGAGGAACAUUCCAGGCGGUACUUUUUCUUUACAGCAUUUGUAAGAUUGAUAUUACCUCUGUGUGGCCAUUUAGUUCGUUAGGUCUCUCUCUCCUCUAUAUAAAUGUGACCUUAUUUAGACAUAGGGUCUUUGCAGAUUUAAUCAAGUUAAGAUGAGUAAGCCUUAAUCCAACCUGGCUGGCAUCCUUGUGGGAGGGAAAUCUGGACACAGCUACAUGGGGCAACUACCAUGUGAAGACAGAGACAGACAGACACGAAGGGCCAUGUGAAAGAAAACGCCACCACACAGACACAAAGGGAAGGUGGCCACAUGAAGAUGCAGGCAGAUUAGUCAUGCUGCCACA
Microcebus murinus (gray mouse lemur) is the source of this 3283-nucleotide non-coding RNA. The record is from RefSeq and is a predicted model, not a curated record. NCBI's taxonomy places the organism in Eukaryota, Metazoa, Chordata, Mammalia, Primates, Cheirogaleidae.